CAACAUGAGUUAUUUACUUAUAUAAUGUUCUUUAAUCAUUAUAGAUUAAAUUCUACAAAUGGCAUCUUCACUAUCAUUGCGAGAAAUUUUAGAUUCCAACAAGUUGAUCGGUCUCAAUUAUAUGGAUUGGUUGAGAAAUUUAAAAAUAAUACUAACUCAGGAGAAGCUCUUCUAUAUUCUCGAUAUCUCCGAACCACAAGAGGUUGGGGAUGAUGCCACAG
RNAcentral lists this long non-coding RNA (221 nucleotides) under Elaeis guineensis (African oil palm). Its description in RNAcentral is "long non-coding RNA (EGUI_LNC058130)". The record is from RNAcentral. Lineage: Eukaryota; Viridiplantae; Streptophyta; Magnoliopsida; Arecales; Arecaceae.